UACGUAGGGAGCGAGCGUUGUCCGGAAUUACUGGGUGUAAAGGGAGCGUAGGCGGGACUGCAAGUUGGGUGUCAAAUCUACCGGCUCAACCGGUAGCCGCACUCAAAACUGCAGUUCUUGAGUGAAGUAGAGGCAGGCGGAAUUCCUAGUGUAGCGGUGAAAUGCGUAGAUAUUAGGAGGAACACCAGUGGCGAAAGCGGCUCUCUGGCCUGUAACUGACACUGAGGCUCGAAAGCGUGGGGAGCAAACAGG
RNAcentral lists this ribosomal RNA (252 nucleotides) under uncultured bacterium. Its description in RNAcentral is "partial 16S ribosomal RNA". It matches the Rfam family "Bacterial small subunit ribosomal RNA", at positions 524 to 776 of the family's 1533-position model. The record is from RNAcentral.